Molecule: long non-coding RNA, 1603 nt
Filed under: Sus scrofa (pig)
Lineage: Eukaryota; Metazoa; Chordata; Mammalia; Artiodactyla; Suidae
Description: lncRNA (ENSSSCG00005015105.1)
Source: RNAcentral
UUGGUACUAUUGCAGACACACGCAGACAGCAUUUUUACAUGUAAGUCUAUUUUUGUAACUUUUCUGAGCACUGAACUUUGUAAGGUAUAUUUUUAGGAAAACUCAUUUUUCUACAAAAGCAAACAGUUUAGAAAGACUGCAAGAGAAUGAAAAUUUGAACCUGAAAUUUUUGUUGAAAGGGAUUUAAGUGAAGCAGACAUCUCUCUCAGAAAGGCACACCGCUUUCGCAGAGCCAGGCCAGAUCACAGUCCUGAUGAAGGGAGCUGUUUUUACAUGUCUUCAAGAAGGAACAAGCACACCUGGCUUCGUCUUGAUCUGCGGCAGGUCCUGUUGACUCUGGGGCAGUUCAGUGGGAAAGAAUUAUUGUCUGUUACCGCUAAUAGACAAAUUCAGCUUAUUCGAGAAAAACAGUAACAGCUCUUUGUUGGUUUAUGUGUGCCAGUCUGACCUUGAUGCACGUUGUUUCAUGUGUGUAUGGGCAGUGGAUAUGCACUUAGGAUACGGCCUAGAAAUACCCGCAGAGCCUCCCUGUAAUGUUUACCACAUUUGACCAAUGCCACCGAUGGGCUUCCAGCCCUUGAGAUGGGGUUCUCAGCUGCGCCGUACGGUAGAGUUGGGGUGGGGUAGCUUUUGAAGAUCUUGAGGCCCAGCCAUGUCUCACUCAGGCCGAUGAAACCUAGGAUUUAUACUUUGUUAAUCUCCUAAAGUCAUUCUGAUGUAGAGUCCCGGCCAAGAGCCACGGGACUGGGAAUUAGCCACAGAUGUGUGGAUGUGCAGCCUUUACUGGCCGGGGAGAAAGCCGACUUAGCAGCGGAUCACAAAGGGAGAUGGUGAAUAGCGGGACGAUUGCGAGAGUGCUUGGAUGGCAUGUAUACAAGCAAGAGUCCGGCAAGAGGAUUCCUGCUUUAGGAAACACGUUUUCUAUGUAUUUUUAUAAACUGCGUCAGGGAUGAAAACUGAAGCAGUCCUGUCCAUUGCUCUUCCACGUGUCAGUGCACAGUACCCCUCGCAGGUUACAGCUCUCCUGUCUGAACUGGCAGCAUAAGUGCCAAGAGUCCCUACCUGGCAGAUGAAAUGCAUUGUUGGUCCAUUUGCUUAUUUUUUUUAAAACAAACCCCUUUGAGGUAACUUGGCUACAAAGCAAUCUUGCUGUAUAACGGAAACUCUUGGAAGUGAAGACGUCCUGGAGAACUGCUGACGUUAGAGGUCUGCUGGCAGCAAGAACUUCAUUUUAAAACAGGCAGGCAGUGGCUUUAGAGCUUCUCUAUAUGCUACAUUUUAACCUUAGAAGGUUUUGCUCUGGUGAAAGCAAUGUUUGUACAAAUGGAAAGCAAGAUUUUUAUAUGGUUUACACUCUUGAGCAAAAUAUGUUGAUGUAUAUGGAAUAUUAAAAAUUAGAUGUAUAUUAUUCAUUGUUCUUUACUCAUAAGUACCUUAUGAAAAUAAUACUGUAUUCUUGUUCACAACGCCCUGUUGCUAUCAGUUAUUGAUCAUAUCCAACCUACUGUGUGUGUUCUUUCCUAAUAACAUUUUUAAGCUAAUUAAUAAACUUUAUUUUUAGAGCAGUUUUAGUUUCGAAAACUGCAAAAUUGAGAAAUUACAG